CCUACGGGAGACAGCAGUGAGGAAUAUUGGUCAAUGGGAGAGAUCCUGAACCAGCCAAGCCGCGUGAGGGAAGACGGCCCUAUGGGUUGUAAACCUCUUUUGUCGGAGAACAAAACCCGGGACGAGUCCCGGACUGCGUGUAGCCGAAGAAAAAGCAUCGGCUAACUCCGUGCCAGCAGCCGCGGUAAUACGGAGGAUGCGAGCGUUAUCCGGAUUUAUUGGGGUUAAAGGGUGCGUAGGCGGUCUGUAAAGUCAGCGGUAAAAUUGCGGGGCUCAACCCCGUCGCGCCGUUGAAACUGGCAGCCUUGCGUUGGCGAGACGUACGCGGACUGCGCGGUGUAGCGGU
Molecule: ribosomal RNA, 346 nt
Filed under: uncultured bacterium
Lineage: Bacteria
Description: partial 16S ribosomal RNA
Rfam family: Bacterial small subunit ribosomal RNA
Source: RNAcentral